CCUACGAGUGGCAGCAGUGAGGAAUAUUGGUCAAUGGGCGCGAGCCUGAACCAGCCAAGUCGCGUGAGGGAGGACGGCCCUACGGGUUGUAAACCUCUUUUGCCGGGGAGCAACGGGCGUCACGUGUGGCGCCACUGGGCGUACCCGGAGAAAAAGCAUCGGCUAACUCCGUGCCAGCAGCCGCGGUCAUACGGAGGAUGCGAGCGUUAUCCGGAUUUCUUGGGUUUAAAGGGUGCGUAGGCGGAUCGUUAAGUCAUCGGUCAAAUUGAGGGGCUCAACCCCUUCCCGCCAUUGAAACUGGCGCUCUUGAGUGGAAGAGAAGUAUGCGGAAUGCGUGGUGUAGCGGUGAAAUGCAUAGAUAUCACGCAGAACCCCGAUUGCGAAGGCAGCAUGCCGGCUUCCGACUGACGCUGAAGCACGAAAGCGUGGGGAUCGAACAGGAUUAGAUACCCGGGUAGUC
RNAcentral lists this ribosomal RNA (460 nucleotides) under uncultured bacterium. RNAcentral's name for it is "partial 16S ribosomal RNA". It matches the Rfam family "Bacterial small subunit ribosomal RNA", at positions 338 to 795 of the family's 1533-position model. The record is from RNAcentral.